CCUACGGGUCGCAGCAGUGGGGAAUAUUGCACAAUGGGCGCAAGCCUGAUGCAGCCAUGCCGCGUGUAUGAAGAAGGCCUUAGGAUUGUAAAGUACUUUCAGUUGGGAGGGAGGCGUUGAUGCUAAUAUCAUCAACGAUUGACGUUACCAACAGAAGAAGCACCGGCUAACUCCGUGCCAGCAGCCGCGGUAAUACGGAGGGUGCAAGCGUUAAUCGGAAUUACUGGGCGUAAAGUGCACGCAGGCGGUUGAUUAAGUUAGAUGUGAAAUCCCCGGGCUUAACCUGGGAAUGGCAUCUAAGACUGGUCAGCUAGAGUCUUGUAGAGGGGGGUAGAAUUCCAUGUGUAGCGGUGAAAUGCGUAGAGAUGUGGAGGAAUACCGGUGGCGAAGGCGGCCCCCUGGACAAAGACUGACGCUCAGGUGCGAAAGCGUGGGGGGCAAACAGGAUUAGAUACCCCAGUAGUC
RNAcentral lists this ribosomal RNA (465 nucleotides) under uncultured bacterium. RNAcentral's name for it is "bacterial SSU rRNA". It matches the Rfam family "Bacterial small subunit ribosomal RNA", at positions 338 to 795 of the family's 1533-position model. The record is from RNAcentral.